This 2114-nucleotide unclassified non-coding RNA is filed under the name Hevea brasiliensis (rubber tree). The record is from RNAcentral. Lineage: Eukaryota; Viridiplantae; Streptophyta; Magnoliopsida; Malpighiales; Euphorbiaceae.
AAAAAAAUGUCACACGUUAACAAAAAUUUGUUGUGUCUAAAUUGGUAUUGUAAGAAUCAGGUCCCAGAAUACCAGAUAAUAAAUAUUCUACAAAACAACUUCAUCAAUAAAGAAAACUAAACUUCUUGAUUUAUUCAGUUGUAACCUACAAAACUUAACUCAAUGGAUACAUUCAUUCCCACAAGCUACGAUUUUGCUCACAGGCGAUGAUAAGCAAACAAUAGUAUCUCUUGCAAGGUUAACCCAAAUGCGUAUCUCCAAGAACCAAAGGCAAAAGUUCACCCUAUUCUCAGCUUUUGUAAUAUGAACAUAAUUUAGCCCAUCUGGACUGGAUCCAGGAGUCCAGGAGGCUGGACAGAAUUUAACACAAAAAAGUACAUCACCCUGCACAUCUUGCCGAAUUUUAUUUCAAUUUCUGCAAGCAUUCAGCAUUCUCGCAGUUACUGUCCAUCACCCAACGUACCAAGUUUUCUUGAAUCACUGGAUAUUUCAAUCCAUAUUAAGUUUUGAUGAACAAUUCACACAAUCAGCUGAAUGCCUUCUGCAAUUUGUGAUCCAUGAUAUGCAACCAUGUCAGUAGGGAUGUUAUGAUGGAGAUGCACCUCGAGGAAUUCCAUGUCCAUGCUUGUACAUCAAACCUAUUAUUUGCUCCACCUUGUACCUUUGACCACACAUUAAAUAGGCUUUAUACAAUAUCACAAAUGUCUUUUUUGUGCGGUCCAAGUUGAAUUUCUCCAUCUCAUCAAGGACACUUUCCAUCUCAUCCAAGCGCUUUUGUGAUGCAUACAUAACCAUUUUACAAUGAUAUAGAGAGCGGCAGAUUUUCCAUCCUGCAUAUUCAGAGUGUUUUACAAAGGCUGCAAGUCUGUCAACUGCAUUGCAUCUAAAAUAGCUUGCAAUAAUGGUCCGCAUCACUCUGGUGGUUGUUACAGUGGUCUUUUGCCGGAAUGCCUCAUUUAUAGAGUUCUCCAUUCCCUCUAACAGAUCCUGCUGCGCAUAAACCCUAAUCAACAAGACAUUCAACCAAGGUCUAUAUUCCUUUUCUGGAAUAAGCCUCAAUAGUGCUUCAAUCUUUUUGAUUCUAUCAGUGCUUGAACUUUUACCAUAUGCACAUAUCAUGGUCCUGAUCAAAGGCCUUUCAUGGACAUUUACAUGAUCUUUUACCAAUUCAUAAGUGUCUUCCAUCUUUCCCAAAUUCCCAGAAUGUGCAUAGCCUCUAAGCAUUAGCAAGUACGUGUUAAGAUUAGGCUUAAUAGGACCUUCCUUCAUUAUCUGAAAAAUAUUUUCCAUUCUAUCCCACAUCCAAGCAGUGAUGUAACCGGCAAUUAAAUUAUUGUACGUGAUCAAGUUUGGCAAGAUAUUUAAAUGCUUCAACUCCUCAAAUGUUGCCUCCAUCUGAUCAACCAGUAACAAGCGACCAAAGACUGAUAUAAGGAUGUUAUAUGUUACAACUGAAGGACCAAAAUUUAAUUCCUUUUUCAAUUCACGAAACAACGACAGACAUUUAUCAGCAUGACCGUUGUACAUGUAAGCACCCAUCAGUGCAUUAUAGGUACAAGUUCUCUUAGCACGCUUGCUACUAGCCUCAGCAAACAGCUCAACUGCAAGAUCAACAUUCUUUGCCCUACCAGCAACUGAGAUACCCUUGGCAUACUCCUCUGGUGUCAUAGGAGUGCUCCUCUCAGCUUGUUUUCUUCUCCAACUUAAAACCUCUAAGGCUAAUUGACGCCAAGAAAUCAAUUGCUUCAUGAGCUCUAUAAAAGCGGACCCAUCGAAAUACCUCCUAAUCAACGAGUCACCCUUCUCCUCUAAAACCCCAAUAACCUUAUCAAAAUCCCCAACAUGUUGAACCAAUUCGUCCCGCAAAAGGGACACCUUUUUGCUCAAAUCCUGGCUGGCUUUGGUUUCAACUUGAGAGAAUUUGUCAGAAAAAAGCGGGAUAAUGUAAGGGAAAAAAUUGGAGGGCAGCGAAGUAUGAGUCUGCGCUCGGGCAAGUCUGUAAACUGGGGACUCGGUGAGGCCGUAAGUUAAAGGGGACAAAUUUAGGGAGAUAGUAGGGGAUCUGUGGCGGCAAAGCAGCUCUGAUUGGGCUGCAUCCGAGAUUUUGAACACUC